Molecule: ribosomal RNA, 253 nt
Filed under: uncultured bacterium
Lineage: Bacteria
Description: partial 16S ribosomal RNA
Rfam family: Bacterial small subunit ribosomal RNA
Source: RNAcentral
UACGGAGGUUGCGAGCGUUGUUCGGAUUUACUGGGCGUAAAGGGAGCGCAGGCGGCUAGGUUAGUCUGAAGUGAAAGCCCGAGGCUCAACCUCGGAAUUGCUUUGGAUACUGCCUAGCUUGAGUAUGUCAGAGGCGAGUGGAAUUCUAGGUGUAGCGGUGAAAUGCGUAGAUAUCUGGAGGAACAUCGGUGGCGAAAGCGGCUCGCUGGAACAAAACUGACGCUGAGGCUCGAAAGCGUGGGUAGCGAACAGG